UCCUGUUCCUAAGUACUAGUGCCGCAGGAGUGAUUAGGUUGGGUUAGAAAUUACCGUAUCUCCUGCUGCUCAAGUGCUUAUCAAUGGGU
Molecule: microRNA precursor, 89 nt
Filed under: Habropoda laboriosa
Lineage: Eukaryota; Metazoa; Arthropoda; Insecta; Hymenoptera; Apidae
Description: mir-252 microRNA precursor family
Rfam family: mir-252 microRNA precursor family
Source: Rfam by way of RNAcentral